Molecule: long non-coding RNA, 322 nt
Organism: Peromyscus eremicus (cactus mouse)
Lineage: Eukaryota; Metazoa; Chordata; Mammalia; Rodentia; Cricetidae
Exons: 3
Source: RefSeq, a predicted model, not a curated record
GACAAAUGAAUGGAUGCUGCUUGUUUGCUUAUUUGCUUGUGCCCAGCUCAUUUUCUGUCUUAUACAGUCCAAGAUCAUUCCUGCCUACAGAAUAGCUCUUUGCACACAGAAGCCUUUGCCACCAUACCUGGGCAUUUCCUCAGCUGCCUGUAAACAUCCUCCAGUGAAGACUUCAUCCACACUGCAUGAAUGUGACAUGGGAAUUCCAUGAAGGCCUACAAUGUUGGCAGAGACAACAUCAUCUGACAUGCAUCUCAGGAGGCUUGGAGGCAGUUGGUGGACUCUUAUAAGAAAUCCAAGUCAAAUACUGGUAACUGUCAGA